GCUCCGAUAACUCAGUGGCCAGAGUGCCUCCCUGUCUAGGAGGAAGCCGGGGAUUCGACUUCCCCUCGGAGCGCCA
This 76-nucleotide transfer RNA is filed under the name Variovorax sp. WDL1. RNAcentral's name for it is "tRNA-Asp". The record is from RNAcentral. Lineage: Bacteria; Pseudomonadati; Pseudomonadota; Betaproteobacteria; Burkholderiales; Comamonadaceae. RNAcentral also lists the same sequence under 5 other names.